Molecule: long non-coding RNA, 660 nt
Organism: Acanthochromis polyacanthus (spiny chromis)
Lineage: Eukaryota; Metazoa; Chordata; Actinopteri; Pomacentridae
Exons: 3
Source: RefSeq, a predicted model, not a curated record
UAAGACAACUGUAUGGAGGACAGUCAGAAAAGUUUUCUGUGUGAUUGGCUGCAUAGAUGCACACACAUCCCCAUCACAGCUCCCUCACAUCAUGAACAGGAAGUCCAUUCACAGCAUAAAUGUGCAGAUCAUCUGUGAUGCUGCAUACAUCAUUUCUAAUGUGGAGGCCACGUGGUCUGGGUCUGUUCAUGACUCCAGGAUUUAUGGAGAGUCUAACCUGAGCAACAGACUGCAGCGUGGAGAGUUUGAUGGCCUUCUGCUGGAUGACAGGGGUUACCAUGACAACCCAGGCUGAUGACCUCAUACCCUGACCCUGAACCAGGCCCCCAACAGAACUUCAACCGGACUCACUGCAGGACCAGAGCCCGGGUGGAGAUGACCAUAGGCCUGCUGAAAGCCCGUUUCCAGAGCCUACGUCUCCUCAGGGUGACCCCUGAGAGGGCCUGUGAUAUUACUGUGGCAUGUGUUGUUCUUCAUAAUAUUACCACUAUUAGAGGAGAGCAACACCCUGCCCUACAAACUGAAGACCCAGAUGAUGAGCCCAUCCACCUGCAGCUAUCCAGGACAGCAGAGCAGUCAGAGACACCGUAUGCAAUAAUCACUUUAGAGUUUAAGUCACCAUCAUCACCACCACAGCAAAUAAAGACAUGAUACACAUUU